GACGAACGCUGGCGGCGUGCUUAACACAUGCAAGUCGAACGGAAAGUCCCUGCUUUUGUGGGGUGCUCGAGUGGCGAACGGGUUUGUAACACGUGAGUAACCUGCCCUUGACUUUGGGAUAACUUCAGUAAACUGGGGCUAAUACCGGAUCGGAGCUCCUGCUGCAUGGUGUUGGUUGGAACGUUUCGGCGGUUGGGUAUGUGAUGGCGGCUUAUCAGCUUGUUGGUGGGGUAGUGGCUUACCAAGGCUUUGACGGGUAGCCGGCCUGAGAGGGGGACCGGCCACAUUGGGACUGAGAUACGGCCCAGACUCCAACGGGAGGCAGCGGUGGGGAAGAUUGCACAAGGGGCGGAAGCCUGAUGCAGCAACGCCGCGUGCGGGAUGAAGGACGUCGGGUUGGAAACAGAGUUCGCCUGUGACGAAGCGGGAGUGACGGUAAUGGGUAAAGAAGCACCGGCUAACUACGUG
RNAcentral lists this ribosomal RNA (468 nucleotides) under uncultured bacterium. RNAcentral's name for it is "partial 16S ribosomal RNA". It matches the Rfam family "Bacterial small subunit ribosomal RNA", at positions 28 to 507 of the family's 1533-position model. The record is from RNAcentral.